Panthera uncia (snow leopard) is the source of this 778-nucleotide long non-coding RNA. RefSeq lists it as uncharacterized. The record is from RefSeq and is a predicted model, not a curated record. Lineage: Eukaryota; Metazoa; Chordata; Mammalia; Carnivora; Felidae. The transcript has 4 exons.
CGGUGCCUGUUCUUCGGCCACCUGAGUCCCAGUAACCAUUGUUUUCUUCCACGCUACACCCCUAGAUAAAGGUUUUCUUUUUGACUGCAUGUUGGGAUCGCUUGGAGACGUUUUGGUUUUUGGUGCCACUCGCUGAGAUCGGGUUUAUUUGGUAUGGGGGUGUGACCCGAGCAUUGGAAUUUUUUAGAGCUCCCCAGGUGAUUCUAGUAUGCAGGAAGGAGUUUGAAACCACCAGUCUCCAUCUGUGCUUCUCACACUUGAUUGGCAUAGGAAUCCUCUGGGGAGCUUGUUAAAAUGCAGAUUCAGAUUAGGUCGGUCUGGGCUGGGACAUGAGGUUCUGUCCUUUCUAAUAAGCUCCCAGGUAGUCUGCGCACAGCUUGGUUGAAAGGCUGCAGGACUCGAGGUUCUCUGAAUUGGAUGACUAAGAACUCUUAACCGGUCCCCCGUCCCCCCCUUCCAUCUUCCAUUCUUCACACCGCAUCCAUGGUGAUUACUCUAAACAAUCUAACGCAGCGGGCAAGAUACCUGAGUGGCUCAGUCCGGUAACCAUUGGACUUGGCUCAGGACUUUUUCCACCCACGAAGAAAUCUUUUAUGGUGCAUCUCCUAUGUGCCAGGCACCGAAAGAAAUAGGUUUCAUUAAUCUACUUCAGGCGUUGACAAACAUUUUCCGUAAAGAGCCAGACAAGUUCUUCCCCUCAGACUCAUAGAGUUCAAGGCAUACUGAAGAUAUACUUCCGGGGGCUUGUAAUGUGUGUUGUCUUCGAGCCGGCAAAGGA